GCCCGAUUGGUCUAAUGGUAUGAUUUCAGAUUCUCAGUCUGAAGAAGAAGGGUUCGAUCCCCUCAUCGGGUA
This 72-nucleotide transfer RNA is filed under the name Lachnospiraceae bacterium. Its description in RNAcentral is "tRNA-Glu". It matches the Rfam family "tRNA". From Rfam's summary of the family: Transfer RNA (tRNA) molecules are approximately 80 nucleotides in length. Their secondary structure includes four short double-helical elements and three loops (D, anti-codon, and T loops). Further hydrogen bonds mediate the characteristic L-shaped molecular structure. tRNAs have two regions of fundamental functional importance: the anti-codon, which is responsible for specific mRNA codon recognition, and the 3' end, to which the tRNAs corresponding amino acid is attached (by aminoacyl-tRNA synthetases). tRNAs cope with the degeneracy of the genetic code in two manners: having more than one tRNA (with a specific anti-codon) for a particular amino acid; and 'wobble' base-pairing, i.e. permitting non-standard base-pairing at the 3rd anti-codon position. Lineage: Bacteria; Bacillati; Bacillota; Clostridia; Lachnospirales; Lachnospiraceae. The record is from RNAcentral.